ACGGGUGAGUAAUACAUCGGAACGUAUCCUGGAGUGGGGGAUAGCCCGGCGAAAGCCGGAUUAAUACCGCAUACGCUCUGAGGAGGAAAGCGGGGGACCUUCGGGCCUCGCGCUCAAGGGGCGGCCGAUGGCGGAUUAGGUAGUUGGUGGGGUAAAGGCCUACCAAGCCGACGAUCCGUAGCUGGUCUGAGAGGACGACCAGCCACACUGGGACUGAGACACGGCCCAGACUCCUACGGGAGGCAGCAGUGGGGAAUUUUGGACAAUGGGGGCAACCCUGAUCCAGCAAUGCCGCGUGUGUGAAGAAGGCCUUCGGGUUGUAAAGCACUUUUGUCCGGAAAGAAAUCAUCGGGGCCAAUACCCCUGGUGGAUGACGGUACCGGAAGAAUAAGCACCGGCUAACUACGUGCCAGCAGCCGCGGUAAUACGUAGGGUGCGAGCGUUAAUCGGAAUUACUGGGCGUAAAGCGUGCGCAGGCGGUGCUGUAAGACCGAUGUGAAAUCCCCGGGCUUAACCUGGGAACUGCGUUGGUGACUGCAGCGCUGGAGUAUGGCAGAGGGGGGUGGA
RNAcentral lists this ribosomal RNA (567 nucleotides) under uncultured bacterium. Its description in RNAcentral is "bacterial SSU rRNA". It matches the Rfam family "Bacterial small subunit ribosomal RNA", at positions 102 to 665 of the family's 1533-position model. The record is from RNAcentral.